CUGGUGUGGACAGAACAGCCUCUUCUCCAAACCUGAGUGGGAAGACACUGAGUUCCAGUGGAUUCAACACACAGAAGCGUGGAUUGACGUGAGACAGACUUGGGAAACAACUUCUCCCCAGGGGCCCCUGGGAGAGACUUUGGCAUUGCCUUUUGCUGGAAGUCUUUAAAAACUGGACCUGAACAAGGAGACCCCUGCCCAAAGUUGGUGAGCUGGACAACAUGACCCCUAUACUCUUGAGCCAUGGCCCCUGUUCUGCUGGAGAAAGCCCUGCAGAGGAGGUCAUCCGUGGCCUCCUUUCAGGCUCUGUCCCAGGCCCCCGGCCCACGUGUCCCCUGCCCUCUGUGGGUUCCUGGGUAUGGGUGAGUGGCAGAGGGGUAAGGAGAGCCUUCUUGGCUUGCGGCAUAUGGAGAGAAGAUGUCCCAGGGAAUCCUCGCUCCUGAUUUAAGCAGCUCCGACAGCUUUAUGGCGCCUCCUCGAGUGAGCCCCCAACGUUGGCUGUUUAACUUUUUAGCGUCGUUUAACACUUAGACUCUGGCGGACAGGCAGGCCCCAAGGCCCCAGAGGCAGCGGCACUAAAUCAGGACACUCUGAGGCCCCGAUAAAUAAUUUUUACAGGGCACGCAGCCCAUAGAUCACCAGUGGGGGUGGGGGGAGAGUGGCUGUGAUAUUUCAACCAAUUGUCAUAUGUGACUGCCCUGUGCUCAGACUCCAGGUCGCCCACAUGGCAGCCGGCUUCAUAACCACAGCCGGCUCUGGGGCUCUUCACUUUGGGGCAUGGGAGAGGAGUAGGAGAUGGGGCCUUUGAUAACCCCAGCCAGCAGAUGACCCGUUGCCUCCCCGGGAAUGAUGUUAAGGUCUGCUCAACUCGCUGUUGUCCAUAGAGCAUGGGUGCUUAAUCCAAGCCUCCUCUGGCACUGGGAGAAGGGACAGCUGAAGGCGCAAGGGCAGGGUGGCAGAGAGGAACACAAGUAACUUUCUGUAGCCAAAAAGUCACUUUUCUGAACACCUUCCCUGUUCUGUUGACCACCUCCAAACUUGUGGUCUGCGUGAGAGAACAGUAUAGAGGGAGGGAGGCAUUAGACCUGACCCCUGGAGAGGAGGGCAGAGCUAAGGCUAAAGUUCAGAGAAACUGGCAGCAUCCCUGUACCAUUUAUACCUCUAGAGAAAGAGACGGAAAGACGUGGCGGGGGAGUGCGGAAGGAGAGAGACAGAAACACAGAGAAAGCUAGGUAGUGAGAGGGAUAGAAAAAUGAAGAUGAAAGACAGAUGAAGAUGUAGAGAGAACAAGAGACAGAGGCAAGAGGAGACAGACCAAAACUGACUCAGAAAGGACACUCCAACAGAUGGUUUGGUGUGGAGAAGGAGUCCUUUUCCUAAAGCUUGGUACCAAGCAAGAGCAACAGUGGUAUCAACAGACCAAGGCAGGGGCUGCAUCUGUGCCAGGCUGACCUGCCCCAUGCCCUCUGAGGGUGCCCUUCCCCUGGCUCCAGGACUGUGUUUCCCUGCACCAGCUCCACACUGCUUCCCCACUCUCUCCCCUCCCCUCAGUGCCCUUGCCCCGUCCCCUCAUCUGUAAGAUCCUGGGAUUUGUAGGGACACUUAAUCCAUAUGGAGCUGAUUCAUUCCCAUCUAAAUCAUCUCCAUGAGCUUCCCUAAGAGCCCUCUGAUGUGCCAGCCACCAUUCCUCUCCCCUGGGCGAUGGCGGGCUGGGGGCUGCCAGUAAACAAACCUCAGCCGCCAUCCAUCCAUCUUGGCCUCGCCCAUCAGUCCAGCCAAGACCAUUCAUCUCUCCAGCACUGCUCCCUGCACUCCUCCAUCCCUCCAUCCAUCUGUCCCUCCUCCUCAUGCCGCUCUACUGGAAACUUUACCUCUCUGCCUUUUCCUGGGUAGCAUCUUGAGGGGUCAUCUCAACCAGCCCCCUGCCUUCAGACAGGAGCCUUACUUUACCCCUGGCCCAGCAAGGCAGGGGCUCUCCCAGUUCAUCACCUUCCAAGAAUGAGGCCUUCGAGUCUGAUGAUUUUACUCUACAGCACUGAUAACCUAGGGAAGUUCUUUCUUCUGUCUAGCUUGUGUGCUUGACAUUCACAUAUGACCAUAUGUCUGAAUGGGAGUGGGUAUAAGAUUAUAGGAUUAUAUUCAAGCG
RNAcentral lists this long non-coding RNA (2146 nucleotides) under Pongo abelii (Sumatran orangutan). RNAcentral describes it as "lincRNA". The record is from RNAcentral. Lineage: Eukaryota; Metazoa; Chordata; Mammalia; Primates; Hominidae.